RNAcentral lists this long non-coding RNA (2616 nucleotides) under Acanthaster planci (crown-of-thorns starfish). RNAcentral's name for it is "uncharacterized LOC110977260, transcript variant X2". Lineage: Eukaryota; Metazoa; Echinodermata; Asteroidea; Valvatida; Acanthasteridae. The record is from RNAcentral.
CAUCCAAACGGCCUCUUUGCAGUGCGUCCUCUUGGCCGUCGCCAGACGUCAUAUUCAUACAACUGGGAGCACUUGACUUAACCUACUUGAUGAAACACCACCCCUUAUGAUGUCAAGUUUUAGACAAGAGAGUCAGAGACAGGGCAUUGGUAUGCCUUGUCAUUGCUCCAAUCUAGAGAGCCCAACCCUGGUUCCCCCAGUUACUUCAGAUGUAAAUCGCUCGCCUACUUACCCUAACACCGGACAGUCUGGUACCCCGCGCCAGUUCCAACACAGAGUACCAAACCUACGCUGGGCUGCGUGGCUCAUCUCAAGCAACGCUGGCAAACAAGAGGCUUUUCAACAGACGCUUCCAAUAUCCUUGCAAGUUCUAGGAGGAUGUGUACUGAAUAACAGUACGAGCCAGCAUGGAAAUGUUGGUCUAACUGGUGUAGUAAACGACAAAAUAAUCCAUUCUCUCCCGCUUUAGCGGAAGUCAUUAAAUUCCUUGCUCAUGAACACUCAAAAGGAAAUCUUACGCCUCCAUAUAAGCAUUAACAGAUCGGUGCUUUCGUCUAAUAUGGUAGACAAUUGAGGGGUAUGUUGUUGGCCAACACCCUUUGGUAAUAAGACUGCUUAAAGUGUUAAUUUAACGGUACCCAUGCCUAAGUAUUCCAGGAUAUGGAAAGUCUAUACAGUUCUUGAUUGUUUAAGUUCCUUAUCAGAUAACACCGAAAUCCCACUUUUAAGUUUGAGCCAAAAGCUUUUAACUCUAAUGGCCCUUGUGUCUGCCCAUUGCUCACAAACUCUGGCGUGUCUUGAUUUGAGGUAUUUUAAUUUCCUCGAAAGGUCUUGUGUCGUAACUGUCAUGGACAUCUUGAAAACUAAAAGUAAGGGUGGGGGACAUUGCAAAACAGUUUUUCCUAAAUUUGAAGAGUGCACGAAAUUGUGUGUUUCAACGACACUGAAAGGCUAUUUACACCCCCCGACCUUAGAGUUCAAAGCAAAGAGAAAAAUUGUUUCUGUCAAUAAGAAAACCGCAUGAGGCAGUAACGUCCUCAACCUUAGCUAGGUGGAUGAAAUGUGUGUUACGUGAAGCAGGUAUAGAUGCCACAAUUUAUUCGGCACACAGUGUUCGCAGUGCAUUAUCUUCUACAGCAUUCGCCCAAGGGGAAGCAGACUGGAGGAAUGUUUUUACCUUUGCUCAUUUUUUAAGAGCGGUGGAAGAACCAUCCUUUGUAAAGCACUUCUGAGUUGUAAUAAGUAACGCUGAAGAACCCACCGAUGUAACUGGCUUAUGCCACUACGGCAAUGGUUUUGACUCCAUUUAUCGUUUAUUAGGGUCUCCUUCAGCUUUAAACAUGUAAACCCUCUGAAAACUUGUACGAAUGUUAUGUAAUAGAAUUCCUAAAUUAUGUGAAUGUAUUGAAUAUGGGCCUAAUUGGAAUUCUAUGAAUAAUAAUGGUACAAGUCGAAGAGGGUUCCCACCCUUUUUCAGCAUGAAUCGUGUACAGGGAAAGGUUUCCCACCGACCGGCAUCUUUCUUUACCACUCAGAAAUGAUGCCUCAUGCCAUCCUGCCUCGGCUUAUAAACUUUGUCAGUGAUAAGUUCAUUAUUGUAACCCAUUCGCACAAAUGGCCUUGGCGGCAAGGGCCAUUGAAAAUGUACAGGGGUGCGUUUUUUAUCAUUUUGUCUCAGCUUGUCUGGCUUUGUUCAGUCUUUUCUUUAAAAAAUACCAUUAAAUCGUUUUUGCAAUUAGUUUCUAAUGUAAGCAGGAUUUUUUAGUGCUCUGGAAAAAGACUUUACAGAUUUUUCCUGUGCACAAGCUUUUUUCCAUUUCAAUAUUUCUGUAUCCAGACCCGGACAACACGAGGUUUCCUUUUCCCACUAUCUCACCGCAUAGUCAUUUUUCGUACGUCAAAAAUAUUUACUUUUCCCCGUCUCAGCCAUUAUUCUCAUCCCAACCUGGGUCCUAUUUGGACUUCUUUUUUCCUGAACCUACCAAAUAAUCAUAUUUUUCAUUUUGAGCUUCCAAUUUGAAAUUAAAAAAUAUAGUUCCUUCCCAUCUCAGUAUUUUAACUUUAUCCCAACCUGGACCACCUGUGACCGUUUAUUUUUUCCUAUGCCCCACUGCAUAAUCAUUAUUUUUUCCAGCUUCAAAUUUGCCAAAAAUAUUGUUCCUUCCCAUCUGAGCAUUUUAUCCUUUUUUAACUGGACCUUUUCGUAGUCUUAUCAUUAUUUGAUUCCUAGUUCACCCAUGAAACUAUUAUGCCCCCGUCUCUCGGCAAAUCUGGCCCAAUGCUCCACAUCUCACAGCAAACCCGGACCACGUGGUUUUUCCCCCCACACCGGAACAUGUAUUCAUGCUACCAAAAAUAGACACCUUUAACAUAUCUGUAAUUCUUUAUCGAAAUUUGGACUCUCACUUUCGCCCAACUCCAUGCCGACCACGUGAAAAUGUUUGUCCCAUACAGCAUACUGACUGCCAAAAUAUUAUCUUAUCCUUGAACAGUAAAACCUGACCAUGCAGGCUUUUUUAUAUUCAUCCCUCAGGUAACAUUUUAUGCAAGAAUGUAUAAAUGUAAGAAGUCAGUACAUCAAAGGGUCAGCACACGUGUUCGUAAGAGGGAGGAAUA